GGGGGCCCGCACAAGCGGUGGAGCAUGUGGUUUAAUUCGAUGCAACGCGAAGAACCUUACCUACUCUUGACAUCCAGAGAACUUAGCAGAGAUGCUUUGGUGCCUUCGGGAACUCUGAGACAGGUGCUGCAUGGCUGUCGUCAGCUCGUGUUGUGAAAUGUUGGGUUAAGUCCCGCAACGAGCGCAACCCUUAUCCUUUGUUGCCAGCGGUCCGGCCGGAACUCAAGGAGACUGCCAGUGAUAAACUGGAGGAAGGUGGGGAUGACGUCAAGUCAUCAUGGCCCUUACGAGUAGGGCUACACACGUGCUACAAUGGCGCAUACAAAGAGAAGCGACCUCGCGAGAGCAAGCGGACCUCAUAAAGUGCGUCGUAGUCCGGAUUGGAGUCUGCAACUCGACUCCAUGAAGUCGGAAUCGCUAGUAAUCGUAGAUCAGAAUGCUACGGUGAAUACGUUCCCGGCC
RNAcentral lists this ribosomal RNA (462 nucleotides) under uncultured bacterium 4114comI. RNAcentral describes it as "bacterial SSU rRNA". It matches the Rfam family "Bacterial small subunit ribosomal RNA", at positions 915 to 1379 of the family's 1533-position model. The record is from RNAcentral.